GAGACCUCAGGUCAGGCGAGGCCACCCGCUGAGUUUAAGCAUAUCAAUAAGCGGAGGAAAAG
Molecule: ribosomal RNA, 62 nt
Filed under: Lespedeza hengduanshanensis
Lineage: Eukaryota; Viridiplantae; Streptophyta; Magnoliopsida; Fabales; Fabaceae
Description: partial 26S ribosomal RNA
Rfam family: Eukaryotic large subunit ribosomal RNA
Source: RNAcentral